UUUUUUUAGCUACUUUUCUAAACAUGAACUAAUUAAUAUAACGUAAGGAAAGAUGUAACAUAACAAGGAUAAAUAUUUACUUUUAAUACAAAAUACACCCCGAGUGUGUGUUUUUCUUGAGUAGGUCGGGGCGAGCAAAUGUGCAAAUUCCAAGCGCACUUGAAUGCAGCAUGGCUACCCCCAAUGUGAAUGAGUGGCGCAGCAGUUUGAAUUUCUCUUCAUUUGGCAGGGCAGCUAUGGUGAAGACAUCCCAGACAAAUCCAUGAAGCCACAGGAGAGUAAGCUAAAAAGAAACUCUAACACCCAACAGUGAAGUUACAAACCCUGAAGAAGUCCUGCACCGUUACCAAAUUCUGCUGAAGGAAUUUCAACUGACAAAAAGCAUGACCCCAAAUGUCGUCAGUGUAAUAUAGACAAAAAUACAAUAGAUUUGACUGCAACAAUUACAGAAAUGACUUUGGUUGGAAAAGGUGAGGAUCUGGGGCCAUUUCCUGUUUUC
Long non-coding RNA from Oryzias latipes (Japanese medaka), 499 nucleotides. RefSeq lists it as uncharacterized. NCBI's taxonomy places the organism in Eukaryota, Metazoa, Chordata, Actinopteri, Beloniformes, Adrianichthyidae. The record is from RefSeq and is a predicted model, not a curated record.